UUCCUUCUGAAUGCCAGCGGCUUCAAGUUCAAGACAACAAGGCACCUGCCCGCCGAUCGGUGCAGCAGCGGCUGCUGUUUGAGUGAGUGUAACUUACCAGGCAGGAAGGGCGGGUGAGUCCGCGCCACCGAGCUGUGAGCAAACAUGGGCCGGCUGGAUGAUGCUGCCAAGCGCAAGGUGGUGGAGCUGCGACAGGCAGGCCUGAGUUUCCGCAAGAUCAAGGCCGUCCUGGAGCUGGAGAACAUCAAGGUGUCCGCCCAGGCCAUCUACCUCUUUCUGAAGGAGUUCCAGGGGAAGGUCAGGCCCGAAGAAGCAGGGCCCGGGGGUGCGGUGGUGCCGCCGAGCGCGGAAGCAGGGACUGCUAAUGCUGGGAGGCAGACAGGGUGGACGGACCAGCAGCUGUGCACAAUGAUGAGGGAGGGGCCACGUGGUAUCAGCUAUGCUGCCUCUGUGAAUUCUGUGCUUGCGCGGACAAGGGAUGCACCCACACCCUUGGGCUCCACUGGUACCAGCGGCACAGCGGUUCAGGAUGAGGAGGGGAUCCGAAUUGUAAGUGUGACCUCGCUUGCCCGUGGUUCCCAGCCUGAAGGGGGCCCCCAGGCAGCUGCAGCUGGACCCUCCGCUGGCCCGUCAACAGGUGGAGCUGCGGCGAGGAGAAAAAUCCUCCUGUCACCAGUGUCCAACUGCAUCCUGGCAGCUCGCAGGAGGCUGCUGGACAAGGCCCUGCUCCACAAGGCUCGGAUAAGAGAGAUGGUUCCUGUGUCUGGCCAGCCGGUGGCGGCAUUGUGUAGAAGGGACCUGUCUUGCCAGGCAAGUUCUGAAGCUCGGAAAGUCUCUAUAUUGACUCAGAGUCCGUCCUUUGGCCUAAACCCACCUCGACCUGCUCUUACGCAGAGGAGCCGCCCCGGAGCCCCUGCUGCCAGUCCUGCCCGGCGGAUGUUCCAGCAGCGGGCUGGGCUGUCAUUCCGCUCCCUGCACCCACCUCUCCAGAGGGACCCGCUUUCUUGUGCUGGAGUUCGUGGGAGCAACCCUGUGCCAUCUCCUCCUGCUGCCCAGGGUACAAGCAUGAGUGGCAUCAGAGCACAGCAGCCCCCCAACCAGCCCCCCAGUGCCACCCCACAGAAACAAGCCCCAGAACCAGUGGUCCGGUGUGGGCUGCAGGACCAGGUGCAGACUCUGGGAGCAGAGCUCCGAAACCUGGGUGCUGCCAUGCAGCUGCUGGCAGAGCAGCAGGGGCGCCUGGAACGUGAACAGGCUGCACAGACCCAAGUGCAAAGGCAGAUCCUAAGUACGCUCCAGGGCAUUGCCUCCAGGCUGGGCCCUGCAGCUCAGCACCACAGCAGAACCCCCCCACCCCCUGGAUCCUCCUCUUACAGCCAGAGCUCCUUUGUUCCCACGUCAUCCAAUUACAGCCAGGGCAGCCCAGCCCAGUCGAAGUCCUGUGCAGUGGACAGCUCUGGCCUGUGUGCUCUGGAGACCUUCAAACUAACAGGCCUGAGCCCUCAGGCAGUGAAUGGUUUUCCAUCGUGCAGCAGUGAUGCUCCCCCUCUGAGUACCGCAGCCACGUUCUCACAGUCACAGACCCAUACUGUGGCAUACACACAGUCGCAAGCGACAGCAUACAGCCAGUCAUACAAGCUGUCGUGCAAGGAGGAGCGCCACCCUGAGCCUUUAGACCCUCUGCACAACUGCAGUCUGUCAGCUCGAUCCUCCACCAAUGCAGGUUCGCCUGUCUCCUCGUCACCACAGGACCCACAGUUCACCAUCGUUAAGGCAGAGACACUCUGAAACAACAGUUCAGUUUACAGUGGGUUAUAUCAUAUGUGGCUAAAGCCAUUCAAGUUUAAGAAACACACAAAAAUUGUCUUACCCACAAGAGACUGUUUUGAUGUCAAUAGGCAAAAACAAUAUUUAACAUAAUGCAGAUGUUAAGUGGGUUGGUACCAACAGGACUGAAGAAUCUUUUGUCUAGACUGUUUCCCCACAUGCCUAGGUCUGCCAGCAUGUUCUAAAGUAGAUAAAGAUCUAUAUGGUCAAAGACUCUUCCAGCACUCAUGGUCAUUUCUGCGUUUUAUACUGUGUAAAUUCCUAUUCAAUCUUUUAACUGUUUAUAAAGCCAGAUUUGGUUACUUGGAUAAAAGCUGGAUGUUAAAAAUAUUAAUGUGCAUCUUUGUUUAUCAAAUGUUUUACACCUAACCAUACUGUAGGAGAAAAGACCUCUUGGAGCACCCUUGUAUAUUUCAGCAGUGUCACUGUGCCACUGUGUUACAUUCACAUGAAUUUUUGAAAAAAAAUUUUCUGUUAGUUUCUUCUUUGCUUUAUUUCUCCCUUUUUAUUAACAAAAGAACAGCACUAGGUCAAAGUAACAUGGAGACAAUUUCCGAAAUUUCUGUUGCAUAGCAAACACUAUCUUCAUUUCUACACCAAGAUAUAAACUAGCAGGAAAAUGUACCAACCAGAUGAAUCAUGUGGGUCCAAAUUAAUUCAACUCACUUCCGCAAGUGUUUACAGCUUGUGUUUGCUGUUCCUAGGUGUUGGUGAUCAAUAGCAAGGUGAGAAACAUUGCACAUUUAGCCUUACAGAAAAUUUUUGAUUUAUUAUAGUUAUCCAAGACUUUUAGAGAACCUACCUUAGUCACGGCACAUCUUUUUUUAUUGAAUAAUAAAGGAAACUGAAAGUGGCCA
Molecule: long non-coding RNA, 2684 nt
Filed under: Scleropages formosus (Asian bonytongue)
Lineage: Eukaryota; Metazoa; Chordata; Actinopteri; Osteoglossiformes; Osteoglossidae
Description: lncRNA (ENSSFOG00015029448.1)
Source: RNAcentral